CAGCCCGGCACGGCACGGCAGCUGUGCGAGCGCGGCAGCUAUACGCGCCGGCAUCUCAGACGGACGCUGGGCACCCUUUGGCACACCGUCUCAUUUUCCGUUAUGAUGCUGCACAUUGAGUCCUAUGCUGGAGAAGGAGAACUGCAAGGGACAAAAUGGCCAUUCACUCAAGGGAUCCAUUCAGGCUGCUCAUAAUGGUUUUACAAGAAUUCAUGCACUUGGAUGACUGCUGAGUUUCCUUAGUCCUGCUCCAUUGCCUUCCUCACGAGACAAUUUGGACUGACUGCUUUUUCUUUGCUCUCCCCCCCAGCUCAAUAGACAUCAACUACGUCUGGAAAAGCAAAACUGUGAUCCAGGUAGCAUAGGAACAACCUGGAGGCUUUUUGUCUUUAGAAAUAGUUUAACUUCAACAUGGCACGGACAAGCUCCUUGCCAAGAAUGUGUGAAAAUAAAAACCCUUUUUCUCCUCUCCUAUCACAAAUCGUUGCAAAAAGCUGCAUCGAUGGCAGAUGCAGAACCAGGCAGGGACCGACUGAAGGGGAAGAUCAGGAAGGAGCCCCAGACACUGUAUGAAGUCAGCAGUGGGGGAAGCAUCCCAACAAAGAGAACUAAAGUGGGAACUAAAGAGACCUAUCAAAGUGUCUAACUUUGACAGGUAAGCCAUUGACAUUUGAUUGAGCUCUCACAGAUUUUUAUCAACACAGAAAAAGGAGUAUUCGACACUGUAUAACCCACUGGUGUACGUUCUUUAACAGGCAGCUGUGCUUUCCUAAGUGAUCACAGCUGCUCUCUUUAGCAGCUCCUCCCUUCCAAAUGCUCAGCUUCUUCCCUCAGCACCACUGAAGGCCUUUGGUUCCCUUCAGAAAUGGAGCCCACGUGACUGAUCUGCCUCUUUGUGCACCUGUUAUCUUCAGUCAUUUUUGAUCCUAUCAUCAGUUGACUCGUGACAGUGGUGAACUGCUUUGUGUAUUCAGCUUUUUUUUCCACCUAGAGUUAAAAAUGAAGAUUACUACUUUUUUUAAAAAAAGUUACACCUAACCAGAACACCUAUAUCAAAAAGAUUGUAUCAUAAAGAUCUGUAUCAUUAAGACUUUUUAUGACACCUAAUUCCAGUGUUUGUGCUGCAAGAAGUGCUUUCAAGCAUGAACUUGGUUUCCAGGAGAGAAGUUUGCUUGCCAACAGCAGAGGAUGGCUUAUCUGAAGGGAAGAACAAUGGUGAUGUUCAGAGCAGACAAACAGCCAAUGGAGUGCUCUCCUCCCACUUGAGCCCCCACAGACACUCUGAUGGCUUUACAGGACACAGCUUAUCCUUACAACUGAUGUGUAUUACAGAAGACCUUCGAGACCUUCAAAUGAAGAGAUGUUUGUAACUAAAAAGCAUUUAGUAUAAUAGAGUCCAAUAAAACAAGUUCUUUAGUGUAUAUGCAAUUGCACUGAAUGUUUUGGAGUGUAAUGUCAUUCUGCUUUUGCAUACAUUCUUUUUCUGAGUAAAACAUUUGUGCACAGUAUUGGAGAUGGAAUUUUACGUAGUUACAGUGGAUGACCUUCAGCUUUUAUUUUUUGCCUCACACUCUCACAAAAUAUAAGCUAAGCUACAACUCAGUCUCACACUUUGACCUUUUAAAAUUUACUUUUAAAAAUAGAGGUUAUCUUUUAUGUUGCAAAUUAUGCCUUCAUCUUGUAUAAUCCCACAAGUCUGAUAUCACAGUCCCACUUCAAUUAUGCUAAACUCUUAUGUUAAUUUUAAAUCAUGUAACUUAAUUCCUGGCAAAGCAGGCUGGUGAUUUUCAAAAUGUGGUUAAUGAGGCAAAGUACAAUCUAGAUUCUGCUACUGAGAUCAUCUGAAUCCCUUAGGUCACUGAAGAUGACUGUGGAGAGGCUCUUCUUUGCAAAAGUCGGGCUUAGAUUUUCAAAAAAUGAAUUUUUAAGUGCAGUGAGGGGCUAUGAAAUUUGAAGUUGAGCAUACAAAGAAGUUGAAUUACUUUCACUAGAGCCAUAGAACAACAGUGCAGCUAAAACAAUUACACUUCUGUGCACACACGCUUCAAAAGCCUUAAGUAGCAUCCUCCCUUUUUAAAUCACAAAUGCAAACCAUACCAGAUUUUCAAGAUGACAGCCCAGGGACCUGGUGCCUAUGUCCAUGGAUGCUUGCAAAUCAGUAUCAUUUUCCCUCUCAUUUGCAGAAACCAAACAUUUGCUAAUAACUUCUUUCACCCUCUCAACUCAAACAAUGGUUUUAUCUGAGAACAGCUAGUAGACAAAAUCUUAUGAGACUGUACAGCUUUUUCAGUACAAUUACAUCCCUCUCCACAUCCAAAUCUCUUUCAUUCUCUGGUCAGAUAGGCUGAAAGCUUGUCACUGAGGCAAGCUCAACGUUAAGUCUCCAAAGAGCU
Molecule: long non-coding RNA, 2393 nt
Organism: Lagopus leucura (white-tailed ptarmigan)
Lineage: Eukaryota; Metazoa; Chordata; Aves; Galliformes; Phasianidae
Exons: 3
Source: RefSeq, a predicted model, not a curated record